CUUAAAUACAAAAAAGAAAAUCUCACAUCCUACGCUUCCUUCCCCAAAAAGACACUGCUUUCUUUUCCUCCUCCAUCCUUCGUCGAGCUUUGAAAAGGAAAUUCAACCAAACCCAAUUCUCAAGAAGCAAGAAAUUCAUCCAAACCCAAUCCUCCAUCCCACGCAUCCCCGUCCUUCAUCGAUCUUCAGGAAACUUAAUGCUACCCUUCACCAAUCUUCCUCAGGUGUAAAUUGCAAAUUACAACAAAGUAGUUUCUCAAUCCAAGACAUCAGAAACCUUAAGCAUUAAACUAUGCCUGAGAGGAAGUUGUGUCCCAACAAUCUCUAUGGUGUCAUUUCUUUCUAUUUUAUUUUUUUAUUUUUUAUUUGUCACUCUGUGGUAGUCAAUUUUCUUUGAAGUUUUUUUGUCAAUUGAGCUAUGUAGACUGUUGAGAAUAUUAGACCAUCCUUGUGCUGAAUGAGACUUAGUUUUCAGGUAUCUUAA
Molecule: long non-coding RNA, 484 nt
Organism: Asparagus officinalis (garden asparagus)
Lineage: Eukaryota; Viridiplantae; Streptophyta; Magnoliopsida; Asparagales; Asparagaceae
Exons: 2
Source: RefSeq, a predicted model, not a curated record